CAGUAGCCGCGGGAAUACGUAGGUGGCAAGCGUUGUCCGGAAUUAUUGGGCGUAAAGCGCGCGCAAGCGGAUAGGUCAGUCUGUCUUAAAAGUUCGGGGCUUAACCCCGUGAUGGGAUGGAAACUGCCAAUCUAGAGUAUCGGAGAGGAAAGUGGAAUUCCUAGUGUAGCGGUGAAAUGCGUAGAUAUUAGGAAGAACACCAGUGGCGAAGGCGACUUUCUGGACGAAAACUGACGCUGAGGCGCGAAAGCCAGGGGAGCGAACGGGAUUAGAUACCCCAGUAGUCCCUGUCUCUUAUACC
RNAcentral lists this ribosomal RNA (301 nucleotides) under uncultured bacterium. RNAcentral describes it as "partial 16S ribosomal RNA". It matches the Rfam family "Bacterial small subunit ribosomal RNA", at positions 509 to 808 of the family's 1533-position model. The record is from RNAcentral.